This 460-nucleotide ribosomal RNA is filed under the name uncultured bacterium. RNAcentral's name for it is "partial 16S ribosomal RNA". It matches the Rfam family "Bacterial small subunit ribosomal RNA", at positions 338 to 795 of the family's 1533-position model. The record is from RNAcentral.
CCUACGGGAGGCAGCAGUGAGGAAUAUUGGUCAAUGGACGAGAGUCUGAACCAGCCAAGUAGCGUGAAGGAUGACUGCCCUAUGGGUUGUAAACUUCUUUUAUAAAGGAAUAAAACGAGGCACGUGUGCCUUUUUGCAUGUACUUUAUGAAUAAGGAUCGGCUAACUCCGUGCCAGCAGCCGCGGUAAUACGGAGGAUCCGAGCGUUAUCCGGCUUUAUUGGGUUUAAAGGGAGCGUAGAUGGGUUGUUAAGUCAGUUGUGAAAGUUUGCGGCUCAACCGUAAAAUUGCAAUUGAUACUGGCAGUCGUGAGUACAGUUGAGGUAAGCGGAAUUCGUGGUGUAGCGGUGAAAUGCUUAGAUAUCACGAAGAACCCCGAUUGCGAAGGCAGCUUACUAAACUGUGACUGACAUUGAUGCUCGAAAGUGUGGGUAUCAAACAGGAUUAGAUACCCGAGUAGUC